GGAGUGAUGUGUGCUCAUCGUGUAGCUGCUGACAUUGGGCUUGAGAGAAAAUCGAAGGUACUUGAUGCUGGUCUUCUUGGUAUACUUGGUUGGCUAAGGACACUCGCAUAGUUCUGAGAGUUGUGUUCCUCAAGUCCAUGAGAGCAGGACAAAAGAGCUGCACAUAUAUAUAAGAAAAAUAUUUUUCCAUAUUCAAUAUUUUUUUGUCUUUCUCUUCAUACAUAGAUAAAAUCAAAAUUAAGGAAUCUAAUCCUAGAAUCAUGGGAAAGGAGUCUAAUUCCAACUUCCUAUGUUAAGAAAAACAUACUAGUUUAAGAACCUUAAGUCUUA
Long non-coding RNA from Brassica napus (rape), 330 nucleotides. RefSeq lists it as uncharacterized. The record is from RefSeq and is a predicted model, not a curated record. The transcript has 2 exons. Lineage: Eukaryota; Viridiplantae; Streptophyta; Magnoliopsida; Brassicales; Brassicaceae.